RNAcentral lists this ribosomal RNA (221 nucleotides) under uncultured bacterium. RNAcentral describes it as "partial 16S ribosomal RNA". It matches the Rfam family "Bacterial small subunit ribosomal RNA", at positions 356 to 595 of the family's 1533-position model. The record is from RNAcentral.
GGGGAAUAUUGCACAAUGGGCGAAAGCCUGAUGCAGCAACGCCGCGUGAGUGAUGAAGGUCUUCGGAUUGUAAGCUCUGUCUUUUGGGACGAUAAUGACGGUACCAAAGAAGGAAGCCACGGCUAACUACGUGCCAGCAGCCGCGGUAAUACGUAGGUGGCGAGCGUUGUCCGGAUUUACUGGGCGUAAAGGGUGCGUAGGCGGAUGUUUAAGUGAGAUGU